Long non-coding RNA from Artibeus jamaicensis (Jamaican fruit-eating bat), 424 nucleotides. RefSeq lists it as uncharacterized. The transcript is spliced from 2 exons. Lineage: Eukaryota; Metazoa; Chordata; Mammalia; Chiroptera; Phyllostomidae. The record is from RefSeq and is a predicted model, not a curated record.
CGUCCUUUUCGUUUAUUGCCGCCGGCUGUCAAUGCCUCUUGGGUGGUACACGGGGAAUAGGGGAGGGUAAUACGAAGUAAUCCACGGCCGGAUGAAAUUGGCAGAACCUCGCCUGGGUAGAGGGUGCGGGGAAGGAGGACGGAGUGCUGUGGAGGCCGGCAUUUCAGGGGGUCGGGGAGGGAACGCGGGGGUCGCUGUUGGUGCCCGCGCUCUGCGGACGCCGACGUCUGGCUUCCCCACAGGUGCCCGGCCUCGUAGCCAAGCCUCGCAAACCUGCGGAAACCAAGGACUCCCCACUCCCAGCCAGGCGGAAGGAGGCUGGAUGUGAGUGGUCGCGCCGGCGUGAGCCGGUGGGUGGAGCGGCCUCAAAAUUUGUUGGCUGGAGUGUUAUCCUCCUUAACUAAUGCUAAACGUUUUGAAAACC